This 18-nucleotide small nuclear RNA is filed under the name Arabidopsis thaliana (thale cress). RNAcentral describes it as "snRNA_08707". Lineage: Eukaryota; Viridiplantae; Streptophyta; Magnoliopsida; Brassicales; Brassicaceae. The record is from RNAcentral.
CUACAACAUGAUUGGUAC